UCGAGAAUUUUUCGCAAUGGGGGAAACCCUGACGGAGCGACGCCGCGUGGAGGAUGAAGGUUUUCGGAUUGUAAACUCCUGUCAUUGGUGAACAAGACAUUCCCGUUAACUGCGGGGGUGUUUGCUAGUAGCCGAAGAGGAAGGGACGGCUAACUCUGUGCCAGCAGCCGCGGUAAUACAGAGGUCCCGAGCGUUGUUCGGAUUCAUUGGGCGUAAAGGGUGCGUAGGCGGUUUGCUAAGUUUGAUGUGAAAGCCCGGGGCUCAACCCUGGAAUUGCAUUGAAUACUGGCGGACUAGAGUACUGGAGAGGAAACUGGAAUUUACGGUGUAGCAGUGAAAUGCGUAGAGAUCGUAAGGAAGACCAGUGGCGAAGGCGAGUUUCUGGACAGUUACUGACGCUGAGGCACGAAGGCCAGGGGAGCAAACGGG
RNAcentral lists this ribosomal RNA (429 nucleotides) under uncultured bacterium. Its description in RNAcentral is "bacterial SSU rRNA". It matches the Rfam family "Bacterial small subunit ribosomal RNA", at positions 355 to 776 of the family's 1533-position model. The record is from RNAcentral.